RNAcentral lists this long non-coding RNA (360 nucleotides) under Mytilus galloprovincialis (Mediterranean mussel). Lineage: Eukaryota; Metazoa; Mollusca; Bivalvia; Mytilida; Mytilidae. The record is from RNAcentral.
ACAGAAAAAAUGGAAUUUUAUUUUUACAAAAUUUACUUCUGGAUACUAUCUUAUGAUCAUAAACAAGCUUUUGUCCAAGCUUGGUAUAAAUCCAGGAGAGUUUAAGAAAGUUAUUAAAAUUUCAAACUUUAGCCAAAGAGUGAAUAUUUGUUGAUGCUGCCAAGGACGACGCCAAUGACGGAAUGUAGGACUGCUAUGUCUCACUUUUUCAACUAAAGUCAAAGGCUCGACAAAAAGGGGGAUCCAACACCAAAACUCCCACCCUCUGAAUCUGCCACUGCCCUCAAAGUAUGGUACAUGAUCCAAUUGGAACCUGCUUGGUUAAUAUAACUGAUUGUGUGCAAUUUUUAAAAGAAAUUU